GGACCUUCGGGUGCCGGCGAGUGGCGAACGGGUGAGUAAUGUAUCGGAACGUACCUUUCAGUGGGGGAUAACGUAGCGAAAGUUACGCUAAUACCGCAUAUUCUGUGAGCAGGAAAGCAGGGGAUCGCAAGACCUUGCGCUGAUUGAGCGGCCGAUAUCAGAUUAGCUAGUUGGUGAGGUAAAGGCUCACCAAGGCGACGAUCUGUAGCGGGUCUGAGAGGAUGAUCCGCCACACUGGAACUGAGACACGGUCCAGACUCCUACGGGAGGCAGCAGUGGGGAAUUUUGGACAAUGGGGGCAACCCUGAUCCAGCCAUGCCGCGUGAGUGAAGAAGGCCUUCGGGUUGUAAAGCUCUUUCGUCCGGGAAGAAAUCGCAUCAGCUAAUACCUGGUGUGGAUGACGGUACCGGAAUAAGAAGCACCGGCUAACUACGUGCCAGCAGCCGCGGUAAUACGUAGGGUGCGAGCGUUAAUCGGAAUUACUGGGCGUAAAGCGUGCGCAGGCGGUUUUGUAAGACAGGCGUGAAAUCCCCGGGCUCAACCUGGGAACUGCGUUUGUGACUGCAAGGCUAGAGUAU
This 578-nucleotide ribosomal RNA is filed under the name uncultured Dechloromonas sp. RNAcentral describes it as "bacterial SSU rRNA". It matches the Rfam family "Bacterial small subunit ribosomal RNA", at positions 74 to 649 of the family's 1533-position model. The record is from RNAcentral. Lineage: Bacteria; Pseudomonadati; Pseudomonadota; Betaproteobacteria; Rhodocyclales; Azonexaceae.